UGCAGGAGUGAGCCUGCUCGCGAUGGCGGUGUGUCAGUCAAUGUUAUUGAUGCUGACACUCCGCCAUCGCGAGCAGGCUCACUCCUACA
This 89-nucleotide unclassified non-coding RNA is filed under the name Pseudomonas sp. Z003-0.4C(8344-21). Lineage: Bacteria; Pseudomonadati; Pseudomonadota; Gammaproteobacteria; Pseudomonadales; Pseudomonadaceae. The record is from RNAcentral.